This 469-nucleotide ribosomal RNA is filed under the name uncultured bacterium. RNAcentral describes it as "bacterial SSU rRNA". It matches the Rfam family "Bacterial small subunit ribosomal RNA", at positions 28 to 507 of the family's 1533-position model. The record is from RNAcentral.
GACGAACGCUGGCGGCGUGCCUAACACAUGCAAGUCGAACGGGGUGUCGGGAGCUUGCUCCUGACACUUAGUGGCGAACGGGUGAGUAACGCGUGAGAAACCUGCCUCUCAGUGGGGGACAACAGUUGGAAACGACUGCUAAUACCGCAUAAUGUAUUCGGAAGGCAUCUUCUGAAUACCAAAGCUUUAUGUGCUGAGAGAUGGUCUCGCGUCUGAUUAGCUAGAUGGCGGGGUAACGGCCCACCAUGGCGACGAUCAGUAGCCGGUCUGAGAGGAUGAACGGCCACAUUGGGACUGAGAUACGGCCCAGACUCCUACGGGAGGCAGCAGUGGGGAAUAUUGGGCAAUGGGGGGAAACCCUGACCCAGCAACGCCGCGUGAAGGAAGAAGGCUUUCGGGUUGUAAACUUCUUUUAGUAGGGACGAAGAACGUGACGGUACCUACAGAAAAAGCAACGGCUAACUACGUG